AUUCGGCCAAACCGCCGCCUUCUCCACCAUGCACCACCCCACUGCCUCCAUCCACCUUCUGCAGCCCCGACCAUCUCUCUAACGCUUCCCCUACCAGCGGCCACCCUCUCUCCGGCGAAGCAACAACUCAAAGCCCAAAACAAUCUCAAAACUACCAUCAGCCGCCCACCACCGUCAGCUGUCGUCAUCAACCACCACCAACGACACCAAAAUUUGCCCACUGGACCUCCUUGAGACCCUCUACAAGCAAUGAUAAGCCUCUCUCCUUAAGUUCUCCUACAAAACUUUUCCAACCAUCUUUUUGUUUAACGACAACACCGUUAGAAAAUUUUCGGAAGCCUCCGGGCAGUUUUUCGGCGAACAGUUUUUUCGACUCGCUUUUUCCCGAUCUACAACCCUUGGGUGACAUUUUAUGAAAACAAUGUGUCGUCCAUAAAAUCCCGAGUCACAAUUCGAAUUCAGCUUCCGAAACGAACUCACCGAUGGUUCAACACACGCUACGAAAGUUUGUCAAAUAUUGGACGAAAUUGCAACAAAAGGUGUGUGAUAAUGACGACGAAGGAUUGAGUGAUGCUAAAUGGCAUUGGAGACCUAUGAUGGUGGUAGCAAGGAUGGUUCUGAUGGGAGGUAUAUGGUUUUACUUUAGAGAGUGCUAAGAAGUCUGGAGAGAAAGAUGAAAAUUAGUUCUUGAAAUUCAAAUAUAACCUGAUCACAAACUCUUAUUUUAAAUGUGUGUAGUUUCUACAAAUGGGAUGUUGGAGUGUUAAUAUACAACCAAACAUUACAAAGUGGAAAAGAUCUCGCCUUAUUCAUUUAUUAUUAUAUAAUAAUAGUUAAUUAUUUUUAUUCGAAUUUUUUUAUGUUGUAUUCAUAUGUGAUUAUUGUAACAUCCCAAAAUCCAAGACCAAAAAUUUCAUUUUUAAUUUAAAGAUUCAUAAAACAGAUUACUGAAAAUUC
Non-coding RNA from Lactuca sativa (garden lettuce), 957 nucleotides. The record is from RefSeq and is a predicted model, not a curated record. NCBI's taxonomy places the organism in Eukaryota, Viridiplantae, Streptophyta, Magnoliopsida, Asterales, Asteraceae.